This 188-nucleotide ribosomal RNA is filed under the name Gilliamella sp. wkB108. Its description in RNAcentral is "partial 16S ribosomal RNA". It matches the Rfam family "Bacterial small subunit ribosomal RNA", at positions 1 to 184 of the family's 1533-position model. The record is from RNAcentral. Lineage: Bacteria; Pseudomonadati; Pseudomonadota; Gammaproteobacteria; Orbales; Orbaceae.
UUAAAUUGAAGAGUUUGAUCAUGGCUCAGAUUGAACGCUGGCGGCAGGCUUAACACAUGCAAGUCGAACGGUAACAUGAGUGCUUGCACUUGAUGACGAGUGGCGGACGGGUGAGUAAGGUAUGGGGAUCUGCCGAGUGGCGAGGGACAACAGUUGGAAACGACUGCUAAUACCUCAUAAAGUUGAGA